GAUGAAGAACGUAGCGAAAUGCGAUAAGUAAUGCGAAUUGCAGAAUUCAGUGAGUCAUCGAAUCUUUGAACGCACAUUGCGCCCCUUGGCAUUCCGAGGGGCACACCUGUUCGAGCGUCAUUUGUACCUUCAAGCUCUGCUUGGUGUUGGGUGUUUGUCUCGCCUCUGCGUGUAGACUCGCCUCAAAACAAUUGGCAGCCGGCGUAUUGAUUUCGGAGCGCAGUACAUCUCGCGCUUUGCACUCAUAACGACGACGUCCAAAAGUACAUUUUUACACUCUUGACCUCGGAUCAGGUAGGGAUACCCGCUGAACUUAAGCAUAUCAAUAAGCGGAGGA
Molecule: unclassified non-coding RNA, 337 nt
Filed under: soil metagenome
Description: partial contains 5.8S ribosomal RNA, internal transcribed spacer 2, and large subunit ribosomal RNA
Rfam family: 5.8S ribosomal RNA (bases 1-120)
Source: RNAcentral